CGCGUAGGCGGUGAACACAGUUAGGUGUGAAAUUCCCGGGCUCAACCUGGGGGCUGCGUUUAAUACAUGUUCGCUUGAGUUCGGAAGAGGGUCGUGGAAUUCCCAGUGUAGAGGUGAAAUUCGUAGAUAUUGGGAAGAACACCGGUGGCGAAGGCGGCGACCUGGUCCGAUACUGACGCUGAGGCGCGAAAGCGUGGGGAGCAAACA
Molecule: ribosomal RNA, 207 nt
Filed under: uncultured bacterium
Lineage: Bacteria
Description: partial 16S ribosomal RNA
Rfam family: Bacterial small subunit ribosomal RNA
Source: RNAcentral